RNA transcript from Rhododendron vialii, 2088 nucleotides. RefSeq lists it as uncharacterized. The record is from RefSeq and is a predicted model, not a curated record. NCBI's taxonomy places the organism in Eukaryota, Viridiplantae, Streptophyta, Magnoliopsida, Ericales, Ericaceae. The transcript has 2 exons.
UCGCGUUAAACAAAAGCGACUUUACUUUGGCAUAUAAAAACCCCUCUUCUUCGAGCCCAAAUACAAUCUCGCUCUAACAUACGCGACUAUACUUAGGCAUAUGUACAACCUUCUCCUUCAAUUCCUAACAAACUCGUUCGAGAUUCUCCGCUGGUAUACCCAUUCACUUCAGAGCCCGAGCCGCAGAACCGUUUCAAUUCAGACCCAAACGUAAUCUCUCUUCGUUCUUUGUUUUUCAAUUUAGAUUUGCUGAAUUUCCCAGUUGGGUAUAGUCGUUUUGUUGGGAUUUCAAUAGAGCAUUUCAAUUUCCAAGAAAUUUGACUGUGUAGUUUUUCAUUGGGGCAGAUGAAAUGCAAGAAAGUGUUGGCUUUCGAAUUAUGGGUUCACCGUUCACCAAUGGCUCAAAAUCUCAUUAUUAAUGCUGGAUGCGAUGUAAAUGUUUGGAAUAGAACGGAAAGGAAAUGUUGUCCCCUUAUCUCGCUGGGUGCAGAGUAAGGCAGUUAGUUGUUGGCAUAGGAGCUAAAUUUACUGGUCUUACGUGUAUGAUGUGCUGAUUUGGUUAGGGUCUCUGAUAUAUAAUCCAAUGUAAACCCCUGCUUACCAUUUUACCACUCCUUCAUGUCUGAACAAAUAUAGUUUAAAGACGGUUGAAAGGUCUCUGUAAAGAAUGAUGAACUAGGUAUAACCCUGACAAUAUUUCAUCGGGCUAUGUAUCUCAUUUUUUGUCCUAUAAACAUACAGCAACAUCUGUACCGGAUUUUGGCUUGGGGGACCAUUCUGAUGAAGUUAUUGUAGGAUGGCAGUAUUGUGAGGAUGCAUAUUCAGGGUACAAGUCAGAACAUCUCCACAUAUGGGGAGAAGGAAGAAAGAGGAAAUUAUGGAAUUGGGCAAUCUGGGGACAGAUUCACUUGGAAAUCACUAUGGGUUGUGGGAAGAGGAUGAGUUUAACAGGGAUAUACACAACAAAGUAUUCGAGAUAUUUUAGUUGAACCGACAGAGUUUAGCGGAUGGAAUCAGGAAUCUCUAUGGGGAUACCUGGAUUUUCUACAGAUCAUAGCCCGUUGGUUUUGGACACAGCUUGAAGUUCUUUGAAGUCUAGAUCACAAUUUCGGUUUGAAGCUGUUUGGCUGUGUAGUCCAGAGUCUCCAGACUCACAAACUAUCAUUCACAAAGCUUGACAGGUUUAAUUUGCGGGUUUGCAUAUGUUCUCUCUCAUGCGUAAACAGGAGGUGAUGUUGGGAUGCCUUCGAAAUUGGACUAAAUUGACUGAUGGACUAAAUUGAGAAGAUGGAGUUUGACAGAACAAGAUAUGAGGAGAGAGUUUGGUGAACUUCUCAUGAAGCAAGAAACAUAGUGGGCUCAACGGUCAAAGCUGAACUGGUCAAAGUUGUUCAUUGUUCGUAAUGAUUGAAGGGUUUAUGAUGAGGAAUUCAAGUUAUUAUAAUUCUGGGUUUGAAGUUAAAUUACUUUACUUGGUUUGAGCAAAUAUACUGUGUUUUUUUUUUUUUUGAUAUUCAAUUAUACUGUGUUACGAAGUUAAAUUUCUUACUUCGAGAUCUUAACUAUGAGCCAUCAAUCAGUGAUGUCCGUUUUUUGUGUUUUUGUUCAUCUUGACUUCAUUAAGAGAUCUGUUGUUGUUGUUAUUCAUGCAGGUGCAUGAUCAAAAGCAUAGAAGCACCUUUUCUUAACACAUCCCAUAUUACUAAAUUCUGUAUCCGGCUUAAUUAGUUGUCCCCUAAACUUAAUAUUAUUGUAGAUUUGAAGGUGGAAUUUAGUUGUUGAUUGAUCAAAAUUUCAAAUUCCUUGAUCUCCAAUUCUCGAUUCGGUCGAGUUUUGAAGGAUGACGCUGGCAGAGAUCGAUGUACGAAUCACAGAUAUGUUUGAGCUCUAUUGUAAGCAUUCUCAUUCCAUCUGUUAUCUUGUGUAGAUGCGAUGCUUUCAAGUUUCAUGGUAAUUUGGUGGCUCUAUGAAAGGUGUGUUGGUUUGUUCCAUCCUUUGAAGCAUGGAUACUCUAUUUCGGCCUGCGUAUCACGUAUCGGAAUAGGAUACCGAUACUCUCGGAUACGCUCUGAAUACGUAUCCGAUACC